This is a long non-coding RNA of Antechinus flavipes (yellow-footed antechinus), 107 nucleotides long. RefSeq lists it as uncharacterized. NCBI's taxonomy places the organism in Eukaryota, Metazoa, Chordata, Mammalia, Dasyuromorphia, Dasyuridae. The record is from RefSeq and is a predicted model, not a curated record. The transcript has 3 exons.
UGGAGGAGCCGCUGUACGCUGCUGUGGAGGAUGGCGGGCAGACAGAGGCCGCGCGGGAGGACACAACUGCUCCUCCCGGGGAAGACCCUCAGCAAGUGACCUACGCC